UACUUGCGUUUUGGCACAUAUGUGUCGUGUUAUUGUAGAAGGAAUACGAGCCCUGAAGUUGGAAUCCUGACUUUGAGGCUAAUCUCUCAAUUUUAUUUAAUCUUUCCAAGCCUUGGUUUUCUCAUCUGUAAAAGGGAAGUAAUACUUAACCCACAGAGAGGUCAUUAGAGCAAAAUUAAGGAAGGCAUGGAGUAAGCUUAGUACCACACAGAGUGGUAAUGUAAUAGACUUCCUUUUUCUUUCUUUUUUUCUUUUUCUUUUCUAAACUUUAUUGGGGUAUAGUUGACUUAUGAAGUUGUGUUAGUUUCACGUGUACAGCAAAGUAAAUCAGUUAUACCUAUAUCUGUUCCUUUUCAGAAUUUUUUCCUAUGUAAGUUAUUACAUAAUAUUGAGUAGAUUUCCCUGUGUUGUACAACAGGUCCUUUUACUUAUCUUUUUUAUAUAUAGUCAUGUGUAUGUGUCAGUCCCAACCUCCUAAUUUAUUCCCCUUGCCCUCUCUACGUUUCCCCUUGGUAACCAUAAAUUUGGUUUUGAAGUCUUUGAGUCUGUUUCUGUUUUGUAAGUUCUUUUGUAUCAUUUUAAAAAUUGGAUUCCACAUACUAGUGGUCUCCUGUGGUAUUUGUCUUUCUCUUUAUGACUUACCUCACUUAAUGACUUGCUACACUUAAUGUGAUAAUUCCCGGGUCCAUCCAUGUUACUGCAAAUGGCGUUAUUCUUUUUUAUGGCUGAAUAAUAUUCCAUGGAAUAUAUAUACCACAUCUUCUUUACCUAGUCCUCUCUUGAUGGACAUUUAGGUUGCUUCCAUGUUAAAUAGUGCUGCAGUGAACAUUGAGGUGCAUGUAUCUUUUUGAAUUAUGGUUUUCUCUGGAUGUGUGCCCAGGAGUGGGAUUGCUGGAUCAUAUGGUAGUUCUCUUUUUAGUUUUUUAAGGAACCUUCAUACUGUUCUCCAUAGUGGUUGUACCAUUUUACCUUCCCACCAACAGUGUAAGAGUGUUCCCUUUUCUCCAUACCCUCUCCAGCAUUUAUUGUCUGGAGACUUUGUGAUGCAUCACUUUGCAUUCUGACUCGUGUGAAGUGAUACCUCGUUGUAGUUGUGAUUUGCAUUUUGGUGAUAAUUAGUGAUGUUGAGAAUCUUUUCAUGGGCUUUUUGGCUGUCUGUCUUCCUUGGUUAGAUCUUCUGACCAUUUAUUUAUUUAUUUAUUUAUUUGAUAUAAAGGUGUGUAAGAUGUUUGUGUAUUUUGAAGGUUAAUCCCUUGUCGACCACUUUAUUUGCAAAUAUUCUCUCCCAUUCUGUGGAUUGUUUUUUCAUUUUGUUUAUGGUUNAGGCNUUUAUUGUGUGAAAGCUUUCAGGUUUGAUUAGGUCUCAUUUGUUUGUUCAUUCUUAUUAGGAAGUGGAUCAGAACAGAUUUUUACUGCAGUUUAUGUCUAAGAGUGUUCUGCCUAUGUUUUCCUCUAGGAGAUUUUUAGUAUCCAGUCUUACAUUUAGGUCUUUAAUCCAUUUUGAGUUUAUUUUUACAUAUGAUGUUAGAGAGUGUUUUUAUUUUUAUUUAUUUUUUAUUUUUUGUCUUUUUGCCAUUUCUUGGGCAGCUUCUGCAGCAUAUGGAGAUUCCCAGGCUAAGGGUCCAGUUGGAGCUGUAGCCACCGGCCUAUGCCAGAGCCACAGCAACAUGGGAUCCGAGCCACGUCUGUGACCUACACCACAGCUCACGGCAGUGCUGGAUCAUUAACCCACUGAGCAAGGGCAGGGAUGGAACCUGCAACCUCAUGGUUCCUAGUCAGAUUCGUUAACCACUGCGCCACGACGGGAACUCCGAGAGUGUUUUCAAAUUUCAUUCUUUCACAUGUGUCCAGUUUUCUACACACUGCGUAUUGAAAAGACUUUUUUUUUUCCAUUGUAUAUUCUUGCCUUUUUUGUCAUAAAUUGAGUAUAUGUGUGUGGAUUUAUUUCUGGGCUUUCUAUGCUGUUCCACUGAUCUGUAUUUCUGUUUUUGUGCUAGUACCAUACUGUUUUGAUUAUUUUAGCUUUGUAGUAUAAUCUGAACUCAGGGAGCUUGAUUCCUUCACUUUUCUUUCUCAAGAUUGCUUUGGCUAAAAGCAAUCCUGAGGAUAUAAAACCAAGCAGGAGGCAUAACUCUCCCAGACCUAGGACAGUACUACAGAGUUACAGUAAUCAAGACAGUGUGAUUCUGGUACAGAAUCAGACAUACAGACAAGUGGAACAGAAUUGAGAGCCCAGAAAUAAACCCAAAUAAAACUUAUAGUCAAUCAAUCUUUGACAAAGGAGGCAAGAAAAAAAAUGGGAAAGUUUCUUCAUCAAAUGGUGCUGGGAAAAUUGAAGAGAGGCAUGAAUAUCAGUGAAACUAAAAUACACCCUCACACCAUCCACAAAAAUAAACUCAAAAUGGCUCUGGGGUUCCUGUCAUGGCUUGGCAGUUAGCAAACCUGAGUGGCAUCCAUGAGGGUGUGGGUUCGAUCCCUGGCCUUGUCAGUGGAUUGGGGAUCUGUCGUUGCUGUGAGCUGUGGUGUAAGUGGUAGAUGCGGCUUGGAUCCCAUGUUGCUGUGGCUCUGGUGUGGGCUGAUGGCUGCAGCACUGAUUUGACCCCUAGCCUGGGAACCUCCUUAUGCCUCGGGUAUGCCCCCACCUGCAAAAAAAAAAAGACCAAAAAAAAAAAA
Molecule: long non-coding RNA, 2673 nt
Filed under: Sus scrofa (pig)
Lineage: Eukaryota; Metazoa; Chordata; Mammalia; Artiodactyla; Suidae
Description: lncRNA (ENSSSCG00060040314.1)
Source: RNAcentral